CUUCAUAAAGCAGAUUUCAUAUGUAUAUCCCGGAGAUAGGUCCGGAGUUUCUACCAACUGCCGUAAAUAGUUGACUACAUAGUACAUGUAGCUGUGA
Regulatory RNA element from Clostridium sp. CAG:7, 97 nucleotides. It matches the Rfam family "Purine riboswitch aptamer". Rfam says of the family: Riboswitches are metabolite binding domains within certain messenger RNAs that serve as precision sensors for their corresponding targets. Allosteric rearrangement of mRNA structure is mediated by ligand binding, and this results in modulation of gene expression. The record is from Rfam. Lineage: Bacteria; Bacillati; Bacillota; Clostridia; Eubacteriales; Clostridiaceae.